RNAcentral lists this long non-coding RNA (498 nucleotides) under Callithrix jacchus (white-tufted-ear marmoset). Its description in RNAcentral is "lncRNA (ENSCJAG00000082924.1)". The record is from RNAcentral. Lineage: Eukaryota; Metazoa; Chordata; Mammalia; Primates; Cebidae.
AUUCCAGGGAUAAGGAAUUCAGAAACACGAGGACAGACCACAGAAGUAAAAGAAUCACCUUCGGAAAAGUCCACAGCUUCAUCAGACUGCCAAAGGCACCCAUGGCACAGAAGAGUUAAGAAGUUACAGAGUGCAAGGCCAGUCCCCAGGAUCACCUCACUUUUGAUGCCAGUUUGGAAGGAAUGGGCCAAAGGAAGAAGCACAUGGAACAGAAAGUUCCAAAAGCAAAGAUUCCAGUUAUCCUCUCCCAGUAAAGUCAUGGGUGACACCAACUUUUCCUGGCCAGGAUGUGUGACCGUACACGUGGAAUAUUGCCACCAAAGGAGCCUCACUCAAGCCUUUGUGUACAUAGUUUUUAUUGGGGCUCAGACAGAUGUAGAGGGGAGAGCCAGGACACAGCUCGGCUUGCUCAUGCCCAGAGAGAGUAAGAGUUCAGCUGCUGAACCUGAAGACAAGGGAGAGCUGGCCACGCAGGUGUGUGUGGGAGCUGGCUGCUGA